RNAcentral lists this ribosomal RNA (497 nucleotides) under uncultured bacterium. Its description in RNAcentral is "partial 16S ribosomal RNA". It matches the Rfam family "Bacterial small subunit ribosomal RNA", at positions 28 to 507 of the family's 1533-position model. The record is from RNAcentral.
GAUGAACGCUGGCGGCGUGCCUAAUACAUGCAAGUCGAGCGAACAGACGAGGAGCUUGCUCCUCUGACGUUAGCGGCGGACGGGUGAGUAACACGUGGAUAACCUACCUAUAAGACUGGGAUAACUUCGGGAAACCGGAGCUAAUACCGGAUAAUAUAUUGAACCGCAUGGUUCAAUAGUGAAAGACGGUUUUGCUGUCACUUAUAGAUGGAUCCGCGCCGCAUUAGCUAGUUGGUAAGGUAACGGCUUACCAAGGCAACGAUGCGUAGCCGACCUGAGAGGGUGAUCGGCAACACUGGAACUGAGACACGGUCCAGACUCCUACGGGAGGCAGCAGUAGGGAAUCUUCCGCAAUGGGCGAAAGCCUGACGGAGCAACGCCGCGUAAGUGAUGAAGGUCUUCGGAUCGUAAAACUCUGUUAUUAGGGAAGAACAAAUGUGUAAGUAACUAUGCACGUCUUGACGGUACCUAAUCAGAAAGCCACGGCUAACUACGUG